CGGCGGGUACAGUAGCCGGGUCGUUCUCGCACCCGUACGGGGGGAAGCCGGUGGAAUUCCGGCGCUGACCCGCAACCGUGAGCCACACACGUGGCGAGCCGGAUCGCCCCGCACGGUUCGUGACC
Molecule: non-coding RNA, 125 nt
Filed under: Streptomyces sp.
Lineage: Bacteria; Bacillati; Actinomycetota; Actinomycetes; Kitasatosporales; Streptomycetaceae
Source: RNAcentral